AGAGUUUGAUCCUGGCUCAGGACGAACGCUGGCGGCGUGCCUAAUACAUGCAAGUCGAGCGGACCUUUCGGGGUCAGCGGCGGACGGGUGAGUAACACGUGGGCAAUCUGCCCGAUACUCUGGGAUAACGCUUGGAAACGAGUGCUAAUACCGGAUGGUCUUCUUGGCCGCAUGGCCGAGAAGGAAAAGACGCGUUCGCGUCGGUGUCGGAUGAGCCCGCGGCGCAUUAGCUAGUUGGUGAGGUAACGGCCCACCAAGGCGACGAUGCGUAGCCGACCUGAGAGGGUGACCGGCCACACUGGGACUGAGACACGGCCCAGACUCCUACGGGAGGCAGCAGUAGGGAAUCUUCCACAAUGGGCGAAAGCCUGAUGGAGCAACGCCGCGUGAGUGAUGAAGGCCUUCGGGUUGUAAAACUCUGUCAUUCGGGACGAACCGGAGUCUGAGGAAAUGCAGACUCUCUGACGGUACCGGAGGAGGAAGCCCCGGCUAACUACGUGCCAGCAGCCGCGGUAAUACGUAGGGGGCAAGCGUUGUCCGAAUUCACUGGGCGUAAGCGCGCGCAGGCGGUGAUGUAAGUCUGAGGUGAAAACCCGAAGCUCAACUUCGGGACUGCCUUGGAUACUGCGUCACUUGAGGAUAGGAGAGGCAAGGGGAAUUCCACGUGUAGCGGUGAAAUGCGUAGAGAUGUGGAGGAACACCUGUGGCGAAGGCGCCUUGCUGGCCUAUUUCUGACGCUGAGGCGCGAAAGCGUGGGGAGCAAACAGGAUUAGAUACCCUGGUAGUCCACGCUGUAAACGAUGAGUGCUAGGUGUAGGUGGGCUCAUACCCAUCUGUGCCGAAGCUAACGCAUUAAGCACUCCGCCUGGGGAGUACGGUCGCAAGACUGAAACUCAAAGGAAUUGACGGGGGCCCGCACAAGCAGUGGAGCAUGUGGUUUAAUUCGAAGCAACGCGAAGAACCUUACCAGGACUUGACAUCCCAUAGACCAGUCUAGAGAUAGACUUUCCCUUCGGGGCUGUGGUGACAGGUGGUGCAUGGUUGUCGUCAGCUCGUGUCGUGAGAUGUUGGGUUAAGUCCCGCAACGAGCGCAACCCUUACUUUGUGUUGCCAGCAUUCAGUUGGGCACUCACAAGGGACUGCCGCCGAUAAGGCGGAGGAAGGUGGGGAUGACGUCAAAUCAUCAUGCCCCUUAUGUCCUGGGCUACACACGUGCUACAAUGGGCGGUACAACGGGAUGCGAAGCCGCGAGGUGGAGCCAAACCCUGAAAACCGUUCGUAGUUCGGAUUGUAGGCUGCAACUCGCCUACAUGAAGCCGGAAUUGCUAGUAAUCGCGGAUCAGCAUGCCGCGGUGAAUCCGUUCCCGGGCCUUGCACACACCGCCCGU
RNAcentral lists this ribosomal RNA (1388 nucleotides) under uncultured sediment bacterium. RNAcentral describes it as "bacterial SSU rRNA". It matches the Rfam family "Bacterial small subunit ribosomal RNA". The record is from RNAcentral.